This 1023-nucleotide long non-coding RNA is filed under the name Hordeum vulgare. Its description in RNAcentral is "long non-coding RNA (HVUL_LNC000445)". Lineage: Eukaryota; Viridiplantae; Streptophyta; Magnoliopsida; Poales; Poaceae. The record is from RNAcentral.
UGCGUAUAGCUAAAAGUAAUAAAUUUGUAUGUUGGAUUCAUGUACGUGCGGUUAUCAUGUUACCUGAGCAGAACAACUAUUUCCAUAACUAUAUUCCUAAACAAAAUAACAAAAUAACAAAAUUUAUUCCAUCAGGAACUAUGAAUGCAUGUAUCCAAUUUAACUUUGAAUAUACGAUGAGCAAGUCCUUCAACCUGAAAAAGACUAUGAAAAUUAAGUUAGCAUCAGAAAUAAUACAUGGAGGUGGUAGGUAAGGAGUUGAUGGUGAGAUUCAUAUCAAGAAUGGUAUUAUAAAGCACAUCGUGUGUCUCCUCAGAUGCACAUUAAUUUAUGAGUUUGUAAGUUCUAAUGGAUAUUUCAAGCUGCACGACUCACCUCACAUGUUACAACAGAAAAAGAGAUAAACCGGUUCAGUUUCGCUUUCGCCUGGCUGCCAGGAGGGACUGAGCGCAUAAUUGCUGGAUUAAUUUAUCUAUUUGUUUAGACUUCUCUUACAACUGCUCCAAGUAGUGCAGAUGUUGUAUAUCACGUUAUGUGCGACAAAUAGAGAAUAACCCUAGAUUAGCACCGGAUUAGAACAAAUCAGGCCUAGUACAAAUAGAGAAAGACCGGGGGGCGUAGAUCAGGACUGGAUUAGAACGACACGGACCUAGCCGAGGCAUGCUCGGAGGGAGGAGGCGAGGGAGUCGACUUACUUGUCUUCCUCAUUUCCACUAAAUUUGAGAUGGCCUGGCACUAAAUUUGUUACGGAAACAACAUGUGUCAACUAUUCCUUUGAACAGGGCCACCUUUUCUUCUCAACUACAUCAACUUUUUAACAGAUUUUGUUUUACUUUCUUUUUCUAGGAACCUUAACAGAACAUAUUAUUUUGUGGGUUCUUUUUUCUUACUUAUUUUCUUUAGGUUAGAUGCUGAACUACAAGAUGAUGUUGUUGAUGUUGUUUAUUAGAUUGUUGUGUUAGUGCUGAUGUUGGUUGUGCCGGUGCUUUUCAUGUGCAGGGAUCUUCUCUUCGUCUCGAGGAG